GCGGCCGUAGCAAUACGGCAGCGGCAGACGGGAGAGUAACACGUGGGAACGUGCCCAUCAGUUCGGAACAACCCAGGGAAACUUGGGCUAAUACCGGAUACGCCCUUACGGGGAAAGAUUUAUCGCUGAUGGAGCGGCCCGCGUCUGAUUAGCUUGUUGGUGAGGUAACGGCUCACCAAGGCGACGAUCAGUAGCUGAUCUGAGAGGAUGAUCAGCCACACCGGGACUGAGACACGGCCCAGACUCCUACGGGAGGCAGCAGUGGGGAAUCUUGGACAAUGGGCGCAAGCCUGAUCCAGCCAUGCCGCGUGAGUGAAGAAGGCCUUAGGG
RNAcentral lists this ribosomal RNA (330 nucleotides) under uncultured bacterium. Its description in RNAcentral is "bacterial SSU rRNA". It matches the Rfam family "Bacterial small subunit ribosomal RNA", at positions 66 to 422 of the family's 1533-position model. The record is from RNAcentral.